GCGCCGGCUCCAAGGGUAGCUGGCGAGUCUACACUGCGCCGGCGGCGGGCGGGGGAGGCUGGCCCCAUCUCUCGGCUUCCUUCCCGGACCUACCCCAGGCUGGACACCCUGCGUUUGAACUUGGCCUUCCCGCAAUCUGGCCAGGAAGACCUUUACCAAUCUCCUCAAACUCCUAAAACGACUCAGCAUCAGGGACAAUCCCAACUGCUUGAUAAGAAGAAAUGAGGACUUUUCUCGACUUUCUCCCUCUCAAAACAAACUCACCUGCAGCCAUACAGAAUGACAGCUGUUCUGUUUCAUUUUGAGUCUUGGAGUAUUAGUCUAAACUGAAAAUGCCAAAAAUAACAAGCGGUACGUCUGUGUGACCUGGUAGGAAAGCUGAGGCCCAGGUGGCCCCAGCUUCCUUUCAGUCAUUUCUUCAGCGAUGUACUUGUGAUACAG
Molecule: long non-coding RNA, 441 nt
Organism: Myotis davidii
Lineage: Eukaryota; Metazoa; Chordata; Mammalia; Chiroptera; Vespertilionidae
Exons: 3
Source: RefSeq, a predicted model, not a curated record